Molecule: long non-coding RNA, 640 nt
Filed under: Rattus norvegicus (Norway rat)
Lineage: Eukaryota; Metazoa; Chordata; Mammalia; Rodentia; Muridae
Description: long non-coding RNA NONRATT017251
Source: RNAcentral
UAAGCUGACAGCGGGUCAGUACUGGGGUCGGCUGAACCCUUCGCCAUCCUAGAGAUGUCACUGCCCCUCACCCCUCAGAGUAGCAGAGAGCUUGGAGAAGCCCUGACAGCAUCCUGUACACAAGGAUGCGGGAGAUUCCUCAUCUUGACUGCAGCCUGCUCUCCCUUCGACAGAGAGAAGCAAAGACCUCGUGCCACAGGGCCCAGUGGAGACAAGGUUAAUGGAUGGGUGACAGGUUGGGCAAAGGCGGGAAGAAAUAUGAAGUGGGAAUGUUCCAUGCAUCCCUUUCUCUUUGUGGCACUCAGGUGAUGCCUCAUGCGGGACUAAAGGAAGAGUGGACACACAACUGCCUGGGCUGGUGAUCACCUUCAUUAACACCAAAUCCUCUCAACUGGGAUCAGUGCGUGGUGAGCGGCUCCUCUGAACCCUUCCAGCGUCGGGAACAGCCUGGACUGGCAGAAACACCCACAAACGUAAUUAGCCCAGGAAGCCGAGCUGCGUCACCCUCACCCUCACACGGGCUCUGAAGCUCCGGUGUUUGCGGCUUCGUGCUCAUUCCCAUGCUUAUUUUUUAAGGCUUCCUGUCUGGUUGCCUGUCUUGAGGUGUCCCUGGGGACUCAAAUGAUGUGUGUCGACAUUC